GUGAGUCAUCGAAUCUUUGAACGCACCUUGCGCUCCUUGGUAUUCCGAGGAGCAUGCCUGUUUGAGUGUCAUUAAUAUAUCAAUCAACCUUCUCUUUUUGAGUGGUUGGAUGUGGGGGUUUGCUGGCCUUGUAAAGGGUUCAGCUCCCCUGAAAUGCAUUAGCAGAACAACCCUGUUCAUUGGUGUGAUAACUAUCUACGCUAUUGAAUGUAAGGGGCAGUUCAGCUUUCUAACAGUCCUCGGACAAUUCAUCAUUAAUGUGACCUCAAAUCAGGUAGGACUACCCGCUGAACUUAAGCAUAUCAAUAAGCGGAGG
This 316-nucleotide ribosomal RNA is filed under the name uncultured Cortinarius. RNAcentral describes it as "eukaryotic LSU rRNA". The stretch from base 1 to 71 matches the Rfam family "5.8S ribosomal RNA", at positions 84 to 154 of the family's 154-position model. The record is from RNAcentral. Lineage: Eukaryota; Fungi; Basidiomycota; Agaricomycetes; Agaricales; Cortinariaceae.